UACAGAGGUCCCAAGCGUUGUUCGGAUUCACUGGGCGUAAAGGGUGCGUAGGUGGGUUUGUAAGUCAGUGGUGGAAUCUCCAAGCUUAACUUGGAAACUGCCGUUGAUACUAUAAAUCUUGAAUGUUGUGGAGGUGAGCGGAAUAUGUCAUGUAGCGGUGAAAUGCUUAGAUAUGACAUAGAACACCAAUUGCGAAGGCAGCUCACUACACAAAGAUUGACACUGAGGCACGAAAGCGUGGGGAUCAAACAGG
This 253-nucleotide ribosomal RNA is filed under the name uncultured bacterium. RNAcentral describes it as "partial 16S ribosomal RNA". It matches the Rfam family "Bacterial small subunit ribosomal RNA", at positions 524 to 776 of the family's 1533-position model. The record is from RNAcentral.